CUGUCCCUUUAAGAGACUUAUGACGGGGCUGGAGAGAUGGCUCAGAGGGUAAGAGCACUGGCUGCUCUUCCAGAGGUCCUGAGUUCAAUUCCCAGCAACCACA
This 103-nucleotide microRNA precursor is filed under the name Mesocricetus auratus (golden hamster). RNAcentral's name for it is "miRNA (ENSMAUG00000002985.1)". Lineage: Eukaryota; Metazoa; Chordata; Mammalia; Rodentia; Cricetidae. The record is from RNAcentral.